AAAAUUUAGUUAAAUUUAUAACGUUAGAUUGUCAAACUAAAGUAAUUUUAAAAAAUAAUUUUUAA
This 65-nucleotide transfer RNA is filed under the name Entiminae sp. ACP-2013. Its description in RNAcentral is "tRNA-Asp". Lineage: Eukaryota; Metazoa; Arthropoda; Insecta; Coleoptera; Curculionidae. The record is from RNAcentral.